RNAcentral lists this ribosomal RNA (382 nucleotides) under uncultured eukaryote. RNAcentral's name for it is "partial 18S ribosomal RNA". It matches the Rfam family "Eukaryotic small subunit ribosomal RNA", at positions 592 to 976 of the family's 1831-position model. The record is from RNAcentral.
UGUAAGCGUAUACCAAAGUUGUUGCAGUUAAAACGCUCGUAGUCGGAAUUUGGCAGUUCCGGAAGUGUGCACGUCGUGUGCGCACUUUGUGGGGACUGCUUUUGUGGUCUUGCGUAGGAUGAGGCACUUUCAUUAGUGAACGUCCUCACGCAACCACUCUUUACUGUGAGAAAAUCAGAGUGCUCAAAGCAGGCAUUUGCCGUGAAUGUAUUAGCAUGGAAUAAUAGAAUAGGACUCGGUUCUAUUUUGUUGGUUUGUUGGGACUGAGUAAUGAUUAAGAGGGACAGUUGGGGGCAUUUGUAUUCCGGCGCUAGAGGUGAAAUUCUUAGAUUGCCGGAAGACAAACUGCUGCGAAAGCGUCUGCCAAGGAUGUUUUCAUUGA